AUGUCACAUCCACAUAAUUUGAAGUUUACAACUUUACUUCAACUCAUAUAAAUCACAUUGUUACAACGGAAUUAAAAACAAUUUUUGUUCGGUAUCCAAAGUUUCACCCAAACAUCUAAACAAUAGUAGUUUAAAACAAAAAUCCUUAUUAUUGAAAGAUACGUAACAUGAAAAACACAUAGGUAAAACAACCUCAUAGACAAAACAACCACGAUGUUACGUAUCAGAGCUACUCCA
This 237-nucleotide long non-coding RNA is filed under the name Lathyrus oleraceus (garden pea). Its description in RNAcentral is "Pisum sativum (pea) long non-coding RNA (PSAT_LNC016998)". Lineage: Eukaryota; Viridiplantae; Streptophyta; Magnoliopsida; Fabales; Fabaceae. The record is from RNAcentral.